RNAcentral lists this long non-coding RNA (408 nucleotides) under Setaria italica (foxtail millet). Its description in RNAcentral is "long non-coding RNA (SITA_LNC003978)". The record is from RNAcentral. Lineage: Eukaryota; Viridiplantae; Streptophyta; Magnoliopsida; Poales; Poaceae.
CGUUAACGUCAACCCUGGCUACGGCAAACCCGGCGGGACCACGGUUGGCGUCGGGAAGGGUGGCGUCGGCGUUAAUGUCAAUCCCGGCAAGCCCAGUGGCACCACGGUCGGCGUUGGCAAGGGCGGAGUAGGCGUCAACGUCAAUCCUGGCUACGGCAAGCCCGGUGGCACCACCGUCGGCGUCGGCAAGGGCGGAGUGGGCGUCAACGUCAGUCCUGGCAAGCCGGGUGGCACCACCGUUGGUGUUGGCAAAGGCGGCGUCGGUGUCGGCGUGAACCCCGGCUACGGCAAGCCGGGCGGCACCACGGUCGGCGUCGGGAAGGGCGGGGUUGGCGUCAACGUGAAGCCCCGCGGGAAGCCCGUCCACGUCAACGUCUCUCCUUUCCGGUACAACUACGCCGCAACGGA